RNAcentral lists this ribosomal RNA (328 nucleotides) under uncultured eukaryote. RNAcentral describes it as "partial 18S ribosomal RNA". It matches the Rfam family "Eukaryotic small subunit ribosomal RNA", at positions 1470 to 1796 of the family's 1831-position model. The record is from RNAcentral.
CCCUUAGAUGUCCUGGGCCGCACGCGCGUUACACUGAUGCAUUCAACGAGCUUAUAACCUUGGCCGAGAGGCCUGGGCAAUCUUGUUAACGUGCAUCGUGAUAGGGAUAGAUUAUUGAAAUUAUUAAUCUUGAACGAGGAAUUCCUAGUAAACGCAGAUCAUCAAUCUGCAUUGAUUACGUCCCUGCCCUUUGUACACACCGCCCGUCGCACCUACCGAUUGAAUGGUCCGGUGAGACUUUCGGACCGCAGCGAAAGUUCAUUCAUUUGAGCUUAGCAGCGGAAAGUUAUUCAAACCUUACCAUUUAGAGGAAGGUGAAGUCGUAACA